This 764-nucleotide ribosomal RNA is filed under the name uncultured bacterium. Its description in RNAcentral is "bacterial SSU rRNA". It matches the Rfam family "Bacterial small subunit ribosomal RNA", at positions 8 to 796 of the family's 1533-position model. The record is from RNAcentral.
AGAGUUUGAUCCUGGCUCAGGACAAACGCUGGCGGCGUGCCUAACACAUGCAAGUCGCACGUCCUUCGCUUUUCGGAGCGGAGGAAGUGGCGGACGGGUGAGUAACACGUGGAUACCUACCUUCAAGUGAGGAAUACCGGCGAGAAAUCGCCGACAAUACCGCAUACGCUUCUCUUGCAAAAGAGAAGCAAAGCCGCGAGGCGCUGGAGGAUGGGUCUGCGUCCGAUUAGCUAGCUGGUGGGGUAAAGGCUCACCAGGGCGACGAUCGGUCGCUGGUCUGAGAGGAUGAUCAGCCACACUGGGAUUGAGAACGGCCCAGACUCCUACGGGGGGCAGCAGUGAGGAAUCUUCGGCAAUGGGGGCAACCCUGACCGAGCAACGCCGCGUGCAGGAAGAAGGUUUUCGGAUCGUAAACUGCUUUUCUCAAGGACGAGCAAGGACGGUACUUGAGGAAGAAGCCCCGGCUAACUACGUGCCAGCAGCCGCGGUAAUACGUAGGGGGCGAGCGUUGUCCGGAGUUACUGGGCGUAAAGCGCACGUAGGCGGUCCUGUGCGUUCGCGGUGACAGCUCCCGGCUUCACUGGGAGAGAGCUGCGAAGACGGCAGGACUUGAGGACUCAAGAGGGAACGGGAACUCCUGGUGGAGCGGUGAAAUGCGUAGAGAUCAGGAAGAACACCAAAGGCGAAGGCACGUUCCUGGGGAGUUACUGACGCUGAGGUGCGAGAGCUAGGGGAGCAAACGGGAUUAGAUACCCCGGUAGUCC